GGCUCUUCCGUAGAGUUUGCAGCCAGGGGCCGGCCCCGCUUGCAUUUCGCUUACCCGCCUCCAUAAACUGCUUUGGCUCCUGGUCUCGCAUCUCCCUGUGGCUCCCCGCAGAUUCCGCCCGGCCUUCCCUUCCUCCCGCAGCCACGCCCCGGCUUGGCUUCCAGCAGCCGUGGCAGCGCUGGCGUUUAGCCGUUGCCCAGAGACGACGCCCGAGAGGCGGUUUAGCUGACCACCUGGCGGGCAGCCGGCGCUCCUCUCCAGGAAGCAGGCGGUUCUCGAGCUCUCGCCGAGCGGACCGGUGAGGUGGCCGGGUCUCCAGGAGCAGCGUGUCCCGGUUCCGCGCCAGCCCCGGCUGGCAAGAGGCAGCCGGUGUCCCCGGAGGAGAAGCCCAACCCGCUGCAGGACGCGAACCUCUGCUCGCGCGCGUUUGUCUGGUGGUCCUGCCCAGGAGUCCUCUGGUCCUGAAACUGACAGGUCCCUAAGCUGGGAAGAAGCUUACAGGUGGAAAAUGGCUUGGAAAGACACUCAUUUCCAGUUUUCCUGCUGGAGGGGAAGGAGCUGCUGCUGCUGCUACUACUACUACUACUAA
RNAcentral lists this long non-coding RNA (589 nucleotides) under Bos grunniens (domestic yak). RNAcentral describes it as "lncRNA (ENSBGRG00000020473.1)". The record is from RNAcentral. Lineage: Eukaryota; Metazoa; Chordata; Mammalia; Artiodactyla; Bovidae.